This 1385-nucleotide ribosomal RNA is filed under the name Actinomyces sp. S8 AA1-3. RNAcentral's name for it is "bacterial SSU rRNA". It matches the Rfam family "Bacterial small subunit ribosomal RNA", at positions 66 to 1436 of the family's 1533-position model. The record is from RNAcentral. Lineage: Bacteria; Bacillati; Actinomycetota; Actinomycetes; Actinomycetales; Actinomycetaceae.
ACGGUGAAGCUCCAGCUUGCUGGGGUGGAUGAGUGGCGAACGGGUGAGUAACACGUGAGUAACCUGCCCCCUUCUUCUGGAUAACUGCUUGAAAGGGUAGCUAAUACGGGAUAUUCUGGCCUGCUCGCAUGGGUGGGUUUGGAAAGGUUUUUUCUGGUGGGGGAUGGGCUCGCGGCCUAUCAGCUUGUUGGUGGGGUGAUGGCCUACCAAGGCGGUGACGGGUAGCCGGCCUGAGAGGGUGGACGGCCACACUGGGACUGAGACACGGCCCAGACUCCUACGGGAGGCAGCAGUGGGGAAUAUUGCACAAUGGGCGCAAGCCUGAUGCAGCGACGCCGCGUGAGGGAUGGAGGCCUUCGGGUUGUAAACCUCUUUCGCCAGUGAAGCAGGCCAUCUUCUUUGUGGGGUGGUUGACGGUAGCUGGAUAAGAAGCGCCGGCUAACUACGUGCCAGCAGCCGCGGUAAUACGUAGGGCGCGAGCGUUGUCCGGAAUUAUUGGGCGUAAAGAGCUCGUAGGCGGCUGGUCGCGUCUGUCGUGAAAUCCCCUGGCUUAACUGGGGGCUUGCGGUGGGUACGGGCCGGCUUGAGUGCGGUAGGGGAGACUGGAAUUCCUGGUGUAGCGGUGGAAUGCGCAGAUAUCAGGAGGAACACCGGUGGCGAAGGCGGGUCUCUGGGCCGUUACUGACGCUGAGGAGCGAAAGCGUGGGGAGCGAACAGGAUUAGAUACCCUGGUAGUCCACGCCGUAAACGUUGGGCACUAGGUGUGGGGGCUCUUUCCGGGGUUUCCGCGCCGUAGCUAACGCAUUAAGUGCCCCGCCUGGGGAGUACGGCCGCAAGGCUAAAACUCAAAGGAAUUGACGGGGGCCCGCACAAGCGGCGGAGCAUGCGGAUUAAUUCGAUGCAACGCGAAGAACCUUACCAAGGCUUGACAUGUGAGCGUCUGCCUCAAAAGAUGGGGUUUCCUCCUUGUGGGGCGCUUUCACAGGUGGUGCAUGGUUGUCGUCAGCUCGUGUCGUGAGAUGUUGGGUUAAGUCCCGCAACGAGCGCAACCCUUGUCCCGUGUUGCCAGCACGUUGUGGUGGGGACUCGCGGGAGACUGCCGGGGUCAACUCGGAGGAAGGUGGGGAUGACGUCAAAUCAUCAUGCCCCUUAUGUCUUGGGCUUCACGCAUGCUACAAUGGCCGGUACAGAGGGUUGCGAUGUCGUGAGGCGGAGCGAAUCCCUUAAAGCCGGUCUCAGUUCGGAUCGGUGUCUGCAACUCGACACCGUGAAGUUGGAGUCGCUAGUAAUCGCAGAUCAGCAACGCUGCGGUGAAUACGUUCUCGGGCCUUGUACACACCGCCCGUCACGUCAUGAAAGUCGGCAACACCCGAAGCCCGUGGCCU